Molecule: long non-coding RNA, 515 nt
Filed under: Hordeum vulgare
Lineage: Eukaryota; Viridiplantae; Streptophyta; Magnoliopsida; Poales; Poaceae
Description: long non-coding RNA (HVUL_LNC009142)
Source: RNAcentral
AUCAACUCGCCGGGAGACUUGUUCAUCCCUUGCAUGUUGUAGUUCAACACAAAGCCUUUAUAGCUUGGCGGCAGUGAUUGAAGGAUUCUGUCAGUGAUAGCUUCUUGCAGGAGUUCAAUCCCCAGUUCAGCUAGACGGUUUGAGUACCCAGACAUUUUGAGCACAUGUUCACUGACAGACGAGUUUUCCUCCAUCUUGCAAGCAUAGAAUUUAUCGGAGGUCUCAUACCUCUCGAUCCGGGCGUUCUUCUGAAAGAUAAACUUCAACUCCUGGAACAUCUCAAAUGCUCCAUGACGCUCAAAGCGACGUUGAAGUCCCGGUUCUAAGCCAUACAAGACUGCACAUUGAACUAUAGAGUAGUCCUCCUUACGCGCUAACCAAGCGUUCUUAACAUCCUGAUCAGCCGUAGCUGGUGGUUCAUCUCCUAGCGCAGCAUUAAGGACAUAAUCCUUCUUCCCAGCUUGUAAGAUUAGCUUUAGAUUACGAGCCCAGUCUACAAAGUUGCUCCCAUCAUC